RNAcentral lists this transfer RNA (76 nucleotides) under Woeseiaceae bacterium. Its description in RNAcentral is "tRNA-His". It matches the Rfam family "tRNA". From Rfam's summary of the family: Transfer RNA (tRNA) molecules are approximately 80 nucleotides in length. Their secondary structure includes four short double-helical elements and three loops (D, anti-codon, and T loops). Further hydrogen bonds mediate the characteristic L-shaped molecular structure. tRNAs have two regions of fundamental functional importance: the anti-codon, which is responsible for specific mRNA codon recognition, and the 3' end, to which the tRNAs corresponding amino acid is attached (by aminoacyl-tRNA synthetases). tRNAs cope with the degeneracy of the genetic code in two manners: having more than one tRNA (with a specific anti-codon) for a particular amino acid; and 'wobble' base-pairing, i.e. permitting non-standard base-pairing at the 3rd anti-codon position. Lineage: Bacteria; Pseudomonadati; Pseudomonadota; Gammaproteobacteria; Woeseiales; Woeseiaceae. The record is from RNAcentral.
GUGGGCGUAGCUCAGUUGGUAGAGCUCCUGGUUGUGGUCCAGGUGGUCGUGGGUUCGAGCCCCAUCGUUCACCCCA